This 253-nucleotide ribosomal RNA is filed under the name uncultured bacterium. RNAcentral describes it as "partial 16S ribosomal RNA". It matches the Rfam family "Bacterial small subunit ribosomal RNA", at positions 524 to 776 of the family's 1533-position model. The record is from RNAcentral.
UACGAAGGGGGCUAGCGUUGCUCGGAAUCACUGGGCGUAAAGGGCGCGUAGGCGGGUUUUUAAGUCAGGGGUGAAAUCCUGGAGCUCAACUCCAGAACUGCCUUUGAUACUGGGAGUCUUGAGUCCGGGAGAGGUGAGUGGAACUGCGAGUGUAGAGGUGAAAUUCGUAGAUAUUCGCAAGAACACCAGUGGCGAAGGCGGCUCACUGGCCCGGUACUGACGCUGAGGUGCGAAAGCGUGGGGAGCAAACAGG